UUCAAUGCCAGUCUGAGACAUGUUCCC
This 27-nucleotide non-coding RNA is filed under the name Homo sapiens (human). The record is from RNAcentral. Lineage: Eukaryota; Metazoa; Chordata; Mammalia; Primates; Hominidae.